GGGUGUAUAGCUUAGUUAGUAGAGCAUUAGGCUAUGAACCUAAUGGUAACAGGUUCAAGUCCUACUAUAUCCA
Molecule: transfer RNA, 73 nt
Filed under: Capsicum annuum
Lineage: Eukaryota; Viridiplantae; Streptophyta; Magnoliopsida; Solanales; Solanaceae
Rfam family: tRNA
About the family: Transfer RNA (tRNA) molecules are approximately 80 nucleotides in length.
Source: Rfam by way of RNAcentral